Molecule: ribosomal RNA, 469 nt
Filed under: uncultured bacterium
Lineage: Bacteria
Description: partial 16S ribosomal RNA
Rfam family: Bacterial small subunit ribosomal RNA
Source: RNAcentral
GACGAACGCUGGCGGCGUGCUUAACACAUGCAAGUCGAACGGUGAACGAGGGAGCUUGCUCCCUCCGGAUCAGUGGCGAACGGGUGAGUAACACGUGAGCAAUCUGCCCCGAACUCUGGGAUAAGCGUUGGAAACGACGUCUAAUACCGGAUACGACGCGGGAGGGCAUCCUCUCCGCGUGGAAAGAACUUCGGUUCGGGAUGAGCUCGCGGCCUAUCAGCUUGUUGGUGAGGUAACGGCUCACCAGGCGACGACGGGUAGCCGGCCUGAGAGGGUGACCGGCCACACUGGGACUGAGACACGGCCCAGACUCCUACGGGAGGCAGCAGUGGGGAAUAUUGCACAAUGGGCGCAAGCCUGAUGCAGCAACGCCGCGUGAGGGACGACGGCCUUCGGGUUGUAAACCUCUUUUAGCAGGGAAGAAGCGAAAGUGACGGUACCUGCAGAAAAAGCACCGGCUAACUACGUG